GGGCCCGCACAAGCGGUGGAGCAUGUGGUUUAAUUCGAUGAUACGCGAGGAACCUUACCAGGACUUAAAUGUAAGUUGCAUGAUUCAGAAAUGAAUCUUUCUUCGGACUACUUACAAGGUGCUGCAUGGUUGUCGUCAGCUCGUGCCGUGAGGUGUCAGGUUAAGUCCUAUAACGAGCGCAACCCUUGUCGUUAGUUGCCAGCAAGUAAAGUUGGGGACUCUAGCGAGACUGCCGGUGCAAACCGAGAGGAAGGUGGGGAUGACGUCAAAUCAUCACGGCCCUUACGUCCUGGGCUACACACGUGCUACAAUGGUAUGGACAAUGAGCAGCCACUACGCGAGUAGGAGCGAAUCUAGAAACCAUAUCACAGUUCGGAUUGGUCUCUGCAACUCGGGACCAUGAAGUUGGAAUCGCUAGUAA
This 421-nucleotide ribosomal RNA is filed under the name uncultured bacterium. Its description in RNAcentral is "bacterial SSU rRNA". It matches the Rfam family "Bacterial small subunit ribosomal RNA", at positions 917 to 1341 of the family's 1533-position model. The record is from RNAcentral.